GGCGUGCAAGAAAAUCAUGUGAUAGUUCAUUCUCCAAUGUCUGGAUUUUAAUGUUUAUUUUUUGCGAUUUUUACUAGAUUUCUGCAACAGCUUCUGUAAAAUAAAAACCGCGCUCUGGGACACGUGUCUUAGGUCACCACUGGAGGACGCAGUUGGACCGGAGCCAAUCCCUGGAAGGUAGAUUUGAGCAGGUGUGGCACAUCUGUUCAUUAUCACGUAAUCUGCUGGAGUAUAUGAGGAGCUGGCUGCCAGUCCUUCGACAGUUGACUGUUUAACCUUUAUGUGCAACCUGUCUGCUCACUGAUGCUCCCAUCUCUGCUUCCGCUCCAAGCUACACCAUUGGCAUCCAUCUCUAUCAUCUACAAACCACCGCACAGACCUCUCCCCCUGGGUUCCACUUAUUCCCCACUGGCAUUCAUCCCCUGCAUCAUCCAUGAGCAACGGGAAAGGGGCGGAGCUGGAACCGGAGGACAAACUGCAAGAAAGUGAAGGGUUGAUCCGCCAGGAGGGGUGAGAGCAACGGAGCUGCACACUGAGAUGAAUGGAGCAGG
Girardinichthys multiradiatus is the source of this 551-nucleotide long non-coding RNA. RefSeq lists it as uncharacterized. The transcript has 5 exons. Lineage: Eukaryota; Metazoa; Chordata; Actinopteri; Cyprinodontiformes; Goodeidae. The record is from RefSeq and is a predicted model, not a curated record.